AAUCGAGCGUUGAAGAGGAGAAGUAAAAAGCGGCAGGCUUAGAAAGAGAGAAUCACCACCGGCUGAAAGUGAUUUUAAGCGUCCGUUUUUGAAAUGCACCUCUGAGUCCCUUAUUGAAAUGAGUAGGUAAGGGCGGCUGCCUGCCGUUAACCAGGAACUUGAGUUGGGGAAUUUUUCCCAAACAGAGUGGAACCGCGCUUAAGCGUCUCUGUG
This 213-nucleotide non-coding RNA is filed under the name Sediminibacillus halophilus. Its description in RNAcentral is "T-box sequence". It matches the Rfam family "T-box leader". Rfam says of the family: Uncharged tRNA acts as the effector for transcription antitermination of genes in the T-box leader family. The record is from RNAcentral. Lineage: Bacteria; Bacillati; Bacillota; Bacilli; Caryophanales; Bacillaceae.